Cryptotermes secundus is the source of this 681-nucleotide long non-coding RNA. RefSeq lists it as uncharacterized. Lineage: Eukaryota; Metazoa; Arthropoda; Insecta; Blattodea; Kalotermitidae. The record is from RefSeq and is a predicted model, not a curated record. The transcript is spliced from 2 exons.
UUCCAGUGUCACCUCUAAGCACAUGACAAACAACUAAAUGGCUACUAAUGCUGGCAGAAUGCCCACACACAACAAAAUAAGAAAGUCUUCACUGAUCAUCAUUUGGCAGCAGCAUCUAACAAUGCAACUCAAGAUUCUGGACUGGACUGGUAACCUUCACUCCCACCUCAGACUGUCAACUUGGCUGGUGUCCUCAUUAUAUAACCUCAGCAUAGACUGCACAGAAAACACUGCUUCCAACAACUCCUCCAUUGUUAAGUGGACUCUUACCUUGCAAUGGCCCAGGCAUUGUUAAUGCAGGAGUGUGUUUUAGUUGCCAUGGGAAUGUGUUUAUUGGCCAUUGUCUAGUAAAGAACAACUUUUCUUGGCCUGUUAUUACAGCUUUCAGCCGUCAUGUCACAGUAAUCAUAAAAUCAAACAUACAAACAAUCAGUCCCUAUAUAUACUCAUGUCAGCCAAGAAAAACAGUUCAUUUAUCAGAAGCAGAUAAGACACAUUCUGAAAUCUUAAAAUGCAACUUAUUGGUAUGAUGGUCUGUUGUUAGGGAGAUAACUGCAUAAUGCAUAAACACUCAGCAGUCAUAUUAUCAAAUUAUUUUAAUUAAAUUUGUCCAGCCCUGAAAUGCAACAGACUCUACAUGAGUAUAGGUAUAUGUUCAACUAAAAUACCAACAGAAUUUUC